Molecule: long non-coding RNA, 274 nt
Filed under: Homo sapiens (human)
Lineage: Eukaryota; Metazoa; Chordata; Mammalia; Primates; Hominidae
Description: HSALNT0321276
Source: RNAcentral
AUUCUGUCUGGUGUACUGGUAAUAUCUGGACUGGUUUAAUGGCUUGUUUCAUGGGAGAAGCGCUAAACUUUACCUCAACAUUUAUGUAAAGUUAAAGCUGCACAGCUUCCAAUUUUUGUCUUUUGAGAUGGUUGCUCUUGGAACACAGAAAUAUGCUUUAAGAUGUCAAGCCUCCUCUGCUGAUGCUGUAUGGAGAACAGACAAGCUUUCCCAUCAAGCCCUAACCAAACUGCAGAACUGUGAAUAAAAUCAAUAAUUGUUAUGAAAAGGCACU